This 253-nucleotide ribosomal RNA is filed under the name uncultured bacterium. RNAcentral's name for it is "partial 16S ribosomal RNA". It matches the Rfam family "Bacterial small subunit ribosomal RNA", at positions 524 to 776 of the family's 1533-position model. The record is from RNAcentral.
AACGUAGGUGGCGAGCGUUGUCCGGAAUUAUUGGGCGUAAAGAGCUCGUAGGCGGUUUGUCGCGUCUGCCGUGAAAGUCCGGGGCUCAACUCCGGAUCUGCGGUGGGUACGGGCAGACUAGAGUGAUGUAGGGGAGACUGGAAUUCCUGGUGUAGCGGUGAAAUGCGCAGAUAUCAGGAGGAACACCCGUAGCGAAGGCGGCACUCUGGGCCGAUUCUGACACUGAGGAGCGAAAGCGUGGGGAGCGAACAGG